AGAGUUUGAUCCUGGCUCAGAACGAACGCUGGCGGCAGGCUUAACACAUGCAAGUCGAGCGCCCCGCAAGGGGAGCGGCAGACGGGUGAGUAACGCGUGGGAACAUACCCUCCGGUUCGGAAUAGCUCAGGGAAACUUGGAUUAAUACCGGAUACGGCCUAGCGGCGAAAGAUUCAUCGCCGGAGGAUUGGCCCGCGUUCGAUUAGCUAGUUGGUGAGGUAACGGCUCACCAAGGCGACGAUCGAUAGCUGGUCUGAGAGGAUGAUCAGCCACAUUGGGACUGAGACACGGCCCAAACUCCUACGGGAGGCAGCAGUGGGGAAUAUUGGACAAUGGGCGCAAGCCUGAUCCAGCCAUGCCGCGUGAGUGAUGACGGCCUUAGGGUUGUAAA
Molecule: ribosomal RNA, 391 nt
Filed under: uncultured bacterium
Lineage: Bacteria
Description: bacterial SSU rRNA
Rfam family: Bacterial small subunit ribosomal RNA
Source: RNAcentral